UACGGAGGGGACUAGCGUUGUUCGGAAUUACUGGGCGUAAAGCGCACGUAGGCGGAUUUGUAAGUCAGGGGUGAAAUCCCGGGGCUCAACCUCGGAACUGCCUUUGAUACUGCAAAUCUCGAGUCCGGAAGAGGUGAGUGGAAUUCCUAGUGUAGAGGUGAAAUUCGUAGAUAUUGGGAAGAACACCGGUGGCGAAGGCGGCGAGCUGGCCUGUACCUGACGCUGAGGCGCGACAGCGUGGGGAGCAAACAGG
This 253-nucleotide ribosomal RNA is filed under the name uncultured bacterium. RNAcentral's name for it is "partial 16S ribosomal RNA". It matches the Rfam family "Bacterial small subunit ribosomal RNA", at positions 524 to 776 of the family's 1533-position model. The record is from RNAcentral.